GGGAUUUCUUUGUAGGUGAGGCGGAAGACUGGAGGGAGCUGAGUACCCGGGAAGAGGGUCCGAUUCCGCCUCGCCGCGCCUCUGGCUGCCGGGCCGUGGGUUUUUCUCUCCUCCUGGGAAUAACGAGGACGACGGCCCCUAACCCCUGAAUUAGCCUUCUAUUUCCAUUAGUGACUUAGAAGCUACCCGGCGCCUCAUCUGGGCUCACCUGAGCUGAGGAUCAGGAAGGGGAGGGGCCACAGUCAUUGCCUCGCGGGCGCGGCGGGACCCCCGCGGAUGGCUUUGUGCGGACUUUCGGCACCGUUAUGCCUGCCCCCCAGCCCGACACCACCUGGGGCCGGCACGCCACGUUACUGUUCGGGGCCGGACCCACCGCCCUGCCUGUUCCGAGGACCCGGACCUCCGAUCCCGGGGAUGGGGGACCCCGAGACCUCAGACCCCACGGAGGUUACCCUGAGACCUCAGACCCCAUGCGGGGACCCCGAGGCUUCAUACCCCCACAGGAGGACCCCAAGACCUCAGACCCCACAGGAUGACCCCGAAAUCUCAGAACCCCGCAGGAGGACCUCGAGACCUCAGAUCCCCAGUAAGGGAGUGAAUGAGACUUCGGAUCCCUGAAGCAGCAAAUCCCUGUGGGGGCAUCCCAGGACUCAGGUCACCGCGGGGUGAACCCAGACCUCACAUUCGGGCAAUCCCCAGGCCGCCGAUCGGCCGGGCAUUACCCACUAUCCCGGCCACCCCCCGGAGCUCAAAGGUUUGGCCCUCCAGCUGCUCCGCCCUGCCGGCUCCCAGGCUCAAACCUCCAGCCCGCGGAUCCCCGCCCCGGAAGCAACCAGGUUCGCGGGAGGUUACCUGAUUAGUCCAAGGUGAUACAGCUGGUAACUGAUGGAGAUGUUGGUACUGAAAUUCACGUACUUUUAGUUCUUUCUAUUGAAUCUAGAGGUAGAAUACAUGUACAAGAAUAUCAGCUACCGUCUACUCAGGUCUCUGAACAAUCUGUUUAUUCAUUCACUCUCAGCAAUUAAUAGGAUCCAGUGAGCCCUCUGUGGUUCUGAAGAAUUGCCUUGAGUAUAUGCAGCCUCAAAAAACCCACUUCCUAGGCUCAGUCUUUGAUCAGUAUUUAUCAUUACCACAAGUUAUUGCUCUAAUAAACUCUACUCUGGAAA
RNAcentral lists this non-coding RNA (1166 nucleotides) under Pongo abelii (Sumatran orangutan). Lineage: Eukaryota; Metazoa; Chordata; Mammalia; Primates; Hominidae. The record is from RNAcentral.